GUAGGUGGCAAGCGUUGUCCGGAAUUAUUGGGCGUAAAGCGCGCGCAGGGCGGUCCUUUAAGUCUGAUGUGAAAGCCCGCGGCUCAACCGUGGAGGGUCAUUGGAAACUGGGGGACUUGAGUACAGAAGAGGAAAGCGGAAUUCCAAGUGUAGCGGCGAAAUGCGUAGAGAUUUGGAGGAACACCAGUGGCGAAGGCGGCUUUCUGGUCUGUAACUGACGCUGAGGCGCGAAAGCGUGGGGAGCAAACAGGAUUAGAUACCCUGGUAGUCCACGCCGUAAACGAUGAGUGCUAAGUGUUAGGGGGUUUCCGCCCCUUAGUGCUGCAGCUAACGCAUUAAGCACUCCGCCUGGGGAGUACGGCCGCAAGGCUG
RNAcentral lists this ribosomal RNA (372 nucleotides) under uncultured organism. RNAcentral describes it as "partial 16S ribosomal RNA". It matches the Rfam family "Bacterial small subunit ribosomal RNA", at positions 527 to 896 of the family's 1533-position model. The record is from RNAcentral.